AAUAUACAAGGUGCUGCAUGGUUGUCGUCAGCUCGUGCCGUGAGGUGUCGGGUUAAGUCCCAUAACGAGCGCAACCCCUACCUUUAGUUGCCAUCAGGUUAAGCUGGGGACUCUAAAGGAACUGCCUACGCAAGUAGUGAGGAAGGCGGGGAUGACGUCAAAUCAGCACGGCCCUUACGUCCAGGGCUACACACGUGCUACAAUGGCCGAUACAGAGGGCAGCUACCUGGUGACAGGAUGCAAAUCUCCAAAGUCGGUCUCAGUUCGGAUCGGAGUCUGCAACCCGACUCCGUGAAGUUGGAUUCGCUAGUAAUCGCGCAUCAGCCAUGGCGCGGUGAAUACGUUCCCGGGCCUU
Molecule: ribosomal RNA, 355 nt
Filed under: uncultured Sphingobacteriales bacterium
Lineage: Bacteria; Pseudomonadati; Bacteroidota; Sphingobacteriia; Sphingobacteriales
Description: bacterial SSU rRNA
Rfam family: Bacterial small subunit ribosomal RNA
Source: RNAcentral